GUUAACGCCAGAAUCUUUCUCCACGUCCCAAUCACGUAAGACGUCUUGAUCCUGCACAGUAAACACAGUCAACACCAAAAGCUUGAUGGCUAGGACUGUCGGGGGAUAGCUCCGGCGUGAGAGUCAGUACAGACGAUCACAAGGUUAACAAUGGAGGAAUAAAUAUCUAGUGACUUGAGAGCAAUAAUUUAUGAGUUACCUUUCACCGUGUGUCAUCCUUGCUUUAUAUCCCCAAAGUCCGGUUUGUCCUGUAUGCAACUGACUUUUCGGGCCCACAACUUUCAGCCGACUAAGCCCUGUCCAAUCCUCAUUAAAUGCAAUGCAGAGAUGACAGUCAAAGUUCUAUCCCCAAUCUACACCGGUCAAAGCCCAAGUGGAACCAUACUCAUCUAGUAAUUCGGCCCACUGCAUCCGGACCAAUAGGGCAAGAAUAAUCAUAACCCCAGGGAGGAGCCCAUUAAGUCUGGCCCAAUAAGGAAAAGGAUCAUGGCCCAACAUUGCCCCCCAGUCUUUUAUUAAACAGGAGGUUUAAUGAAAGAGUAUAAGUGGAAUCGGUCCAGAAUAAAAGGAAUUAUAAUGAGAUCAACAAAGGCCCAAGAUACAACUUACCGAGGCCCAAAAGAGAAGCCCACUCCGGUAAACAAUAAAGACUAAAACCGCACGCUACUUCUUUAACUUCACAAUCACCGUUGGCAUUAAAUGAGCCACCCCUGAACCUUAUGAAAAGUUGAAGAGAACUCUAGUAUAAAAGCUGCUUUCUCCCAAAUCUGACAGUUUUACCAACUCAAUUCGAAAUUCGGAUAUUCCUUACUCCUCUUCUUCUCCAAAUUUCUCUCUGCAAACUUCAGAAGUAUUUCAACGGAACGAGUGAGAGAAAUGGCGAGCCUUCUAGAGAAGAUUCACAUUAAGGAAGGGAGCUUCGAACUUCUGAGUAAACAAAUAUGAUUGUAUAACCAUAACUGUAAGUCUCGAACCCACUCUAUUGUUUAAAUCCCAAUUUCCA
Molecule: long non-coding RNA, 1003 nt
Filed under: Panax ginseng (ginseng)
Lineage: Eukaryota; Viridiplantae; Streptophyta; Magnoliopsida; Apiales; Araliaceae
Description: long non-coding RNA (PGIN_LNC016929)
Source: RNAcentral